UUUACCCUAACCGAAGCGCUCAGAUAAAAACUUGGGGGAUGUGUGUCAGGGAACGCUCCAGGAGCCGGCUGAGGGAUGAGGCUGCCGGGGGGGCGGGCAGAGCCACCCUCCACCUGGGCAGGGCAGGACAGGGCAGGGCAGGGCAGACGCGCAUCCCCCCGGUCUGGCCCGGGCACAUCGCAGCGGGACGGACCCAACUUUUCCCGGCGCGGGCUGGGAACGGGGAGCCGGGGGUGCGGAGCCGGGCAGCCCCUCUGCUCCCGGGGCGGGGCGGAGGCGGGCGCUCCCCGCGGUCGCGGAGCGGUGGGGCGGGGGCAGCGCGCCCUGUGCUGCUGCCGUGCCUCGGCAGGCAACGCCGCAGCCCCGCGGGCGGAGAGCGCUGCCCCCCCCCCCCCCCCCCCGCACCGCACCGCACCGGAGACCGGCCCGGGCGGCUCCGUCCUGCCCCGCCGCCGCGAUGAGGAGGAGCGCUUGGGGAGCCGCGCCGUACGCCGCGGGGCUCUGGCACGGCGAUGGACAAGGCCUCUUCUAUGGACAUUGAACUCCCAGCUACCUAUGCCUAUUGCCUGUGAUGGAAGAACUUGAUGUUAAUGUGAGUUCGAGUGAGGGCUUCAGCGUAGCGGAGAAGAUCGUGCUGCUCACCUUCAUCUCCGCCGUUAUACUGAUGGCCAUCCUGGGGAACCUGCUGGUGAUGGUGGCCGUGUGCCGGGACAGGCAGCUCAGGAAAAUCAAGACCAAUUAUUUCAUUGUUUCCCUUGCCUUUGCGGACCUGCUGGUGUCGGUGCUGGUGAUGCCGUUUGGAGCCAUCGAGCUGGUUCAGGACAACUGGAUCUAUGGAGAGAUGUUCUGCCUGGUCCGAACGUCCCUCGAUGUCCUGCUCACCACAGCGUCAAUCCUGCACCUGUGCUGUAUCUCUCUGGACAGGUACUAUGCUAUCUGCUGCCAGCCUCUGGUUUACAGGAACAAGAUGACUCCACUGCGCAUCGCUGUAAUGCUUGGAGGGUGCUGGGUAAUCCCAACAUUUAUUUCUUUCCUCCCUAUCAUGCAAGGCUGGAAUAGCAUUGGCAUCAUUGAUCUGAUUCAGCAAAGGCAGUUCAACAAGGCUUCCAACUCUACCUACUGCAUAUUCAUGGUCAACAAGCCAUACGCCAUUACCUGCUCCGUGGUGGCCUUCUACAUUCCCUUCCUCCUGAUGGUGCUGGCCUACUACCGCAUCUACGUCACGGCCAGGGAUCAUGCUCGCCAGAUCCGGGUGCUGCAGCGUGCAGGGGCCCCCACCGAUGGCCGGCAGCACCACCCGGACCAGCACAGCACACACCGCAUGAAGACUGAGACCAAAGCUGCCAAGACCCUGUGCAUCAUCAUGGGGUGCUUCUGCCUGUGCUGGGCCCCCUUCUUUAUCACAAACAUAGUGGACCCUUUCAUAAACUACACGGUGCCAGGGAAGCUGUGGACGGCUUUCCUGUGGCUGGGCUACAUCAAUUCAGGGUUGAACCCUUUCCUCUACGCCUUCCUGAACAAGUCUUUCAGACGUGCCUUCCUCAUCAUCCUGUGCUGCGGUGAUGAGCGAUACCGAAGGCCUUCCAUCUUGGGGCAGACGGUCCCCUGUUCCACCACCACAAUAAAUGGAUCGACUCAUGUACUAAGGGUAAACAGCUGGAAGUGCUGAGCUAACUGCCAGAGGCUUCAGACAGACUCUUUGUGCCACAGGAGAUCCUGGGACAUCUUAAUGACUUCUUUUUAGCUUAAUGCAUCUUUGUAAAAAAUGGCACCACCUGCUAAAUUGCUGAUCUUGCACAACUGUUUUCUGACUACUGCAGAAGAAGAAGAAGAAAGGUACACUGUUUUACGUAACGGGCAUCAUCAGGAACAUGAGAAGCUUCCCAUCCACAAUGACCCUGAAUCCCAAGAAUCCUGUUUCUAGUCACAGUCCUAGAAGAGAAAUGGCCCAGCUGGAGGAACAGAUUCCUUUUAGGAUACCCAAAGGAUUCAUGGACAGCAGGACUUCAUGAAAACUCAUUCAUCUGUAUUGUCCUUGUGCCUCCUGCACCGACUCAUACAGAUGUCCAGCUGCACAUGUGUAGAUCGAUGGGGGCAUGGGAAGGCACAUGAGCACAACGGCUGAGGAGACUCCUGUAUCUGCAAGGGCGGCUGGGCUGUAUGACUGCAUCAGAGCCUUACUCCAGGAGUGAGCUGAUUUCUGUCAAUGUAAGGAAACAACACAGAUACAAACCACCCAGUGCAGGGACUCCUGUUAUUCCUUUCCAGCUGCCAUCUGUGUACAAGGCACCCCUCUGUCCCGUGACACCAUGAUGUUAAAGAUUACAAGUUCUGGCUAAAGCCCUAUCAUGAUGUGAGACUAAAUGCCUGCUUUAUCUGCGCAAGAUCCUGCCCGCCCAUGACCGGAUGCUGUCAGGAGAGAAACAGCACUAUGUUUUCGUUAGCAAAAUAAGAGGAAUGUUUGCCUUUUGAUUAUAGUCGCUGGUGAAAGGUCAGCAUGAGCUGCUGCUUCACCCUACUCUGCAGAGCUUUCUUUGUAAAUGCUUUCAUUGUGUUUCCUGGCCAAGUUCAUUGGUAGAGACUCAUAGGGUGUAUACAGUGCCUGACAAGCUGGAGUGGGACCCGCCGAGGCAUUUCACUGCUAACAGACGGCUCUGCAAGCGCUGCUUCAAUCCAGCCCAAGUGCUAAAAGACAGUGACCAUCCUCUGCCAUUCGGAGGCCAACGGACGGGACGUGCCCCUCAAACCCCAGGCAAGCCACCGUGCUGGCCUCAUCUGAGCAAACUUUGGGCAUUCUUACCAAGAAGAAAGGUUGGCCAAGAGAAAGAGUCAGCCUGUAAUAGAUCACUAAGUGCCGUCUUGAAAAAUACACCGUCUAAAAACUUUUCUAGUUUCAAUAAGAAGACAAACUUCUACUUACAUUUUCCAUCUUUAUUUUUCUAUUUGUUUCUGUUCCCUUCCAGUUGAGGCAAGAAUUUUCAAGACUUUCAAAUAUCACCAUAUGCACAUCUCUGUUUGCAAAGAGUCCUUUGCAGUUCCUUAGCUGCUUCCUGCAUGUAGAUGUUGCAAUGUUCCUUGUGCGCUGCUUCCACCUUUGCAUGGAAAGGGUAGGCAAGGCCGUAGACAUCGCAACUUUGGGAAAAUUACUUUCAUGGAGUGGGAAAUGUGCAGGAUCAAGACUACAAGCCUCUACGUUUUUUAGAUGAAGAUCUAACCCAGAGAUGCCACCCUGAGCCUAGAAAAUAAAAUUGUACUUUGUUAUAUUGUGCAAUCAUGUACAGAUAUUUUUAAUGUAAAAAGAAAAGGUGACAUUAUUUAUUAUUUUUUAUCAGGAACAUGUAGGUUUUUUCAUUAAAAGCUUCUAGACCCAGGAGCUUAACAUUAUAUGUAUUAUUAUUUAGUAAUAUUUCUGUUGCUAUGUGACAGGUAUUUACUGUAAACAAACAAACAAAUCCUGCUUUGAACAAACAAAAAUGUUACUCAGUAGGAAAAACAAAUUGUGCAUGAUAAGAACAACUGGCUUCCUUGCCAUGGUGUCUGACUGCUUUAAAUACUUCUUCCACAUAAAUGUCACUGAGAAAGCUUCACAUCAUUUUCCUUUAGGAUUCAAAAGGACACUGGGCAGAAACAGCCCUAAUUAGAAGCCAGACACUUACCAAUGUAGAAAAUUGCUAGCAGUUAGAGAGACAAACGAUUGGUGUUUGUGGUGAUAGGUGCCGAUGGGAAGAACUUGAGCUAUUUGAAAAGAGACGGUGAGAGAGUUUGAGCCAAUUCCUGGUUCAUCAUUAGGAACGGUUGGGCAAUGACAUGUUUUUGCAGGGUUGUGUUUCCAAAAGAACUUGCUAUCUGUUCAACUCUAUUGUUAACACCAAAACAGAGCAGUGGGUGAAAAAAAUAAGCCGUUAUUGGAUGUUUUGGAAAACAUCCAUCCAGGGCCACUUCAAUCCUUUGAUCUAUACUUCUGUGGAACUGCUCGCAUGAGUUUUUGUCUGGAUUUGGGUAUGCAAGACUGCAGAACAGGUUGCCUUGGUUUCACCUCAAGUAUCAAAUUUCUUAAAGAAAUCCUAGGAAAGCUUUUCUCUGUCCCCAUUAAAAGGCAUCAAAAUAUUGGUGUGAAAUUUCUUGGAGUGAUAUGGAUCCAGCAGCAUGGGGAUGCAAUAGUGAUGGUGUUCUUUGUUUCCACUGUUGUCCUUGAAGUGUUGUUUUCUCCUAUAUUUUUGUGCUUUAGUAAUAUAUCUCUUCUAAAUUUAAAAUGAACUUCUCAACACUGAAUUUUACUCAUGGACAAUGUUCAGAAGGCUCUGUCAAUGGGAUCGGUAGCUCACUAGCCAAAACGGUCAACAUCUCUGAUUGGAAAAAAGGCUCCAAUUCCAAACACUGUAUUUGAAUGAAUGCUAAACACAAAAUGUCCAUGUUCUGUGUCAUCUCUGGCUAGUUGCUUGUUGGACUCAGUAAAUCUGUCAUGAACCACCUGGCCGCUCCUGCUUCUCAGCAAUGCUUCCGUGAACCCAGCAAAUGACAUUGUCCAUCAUCAAUAAUGUUAGAAUUUCUAUGGAAAAGCAGCUGUCUCAUGGAAAGGACCCAUACUUCAUUUCCUUUGCUAAAGGUGGCCGCUCGUGUAGCCUCUGAGUCCAUCCUCCCAUUGACCAUUUUGGCUAGUGGUGUCAGAGUCUUUGCCUGUGCUGAAUAAUGUGUAACGCAUUGGCUGUUUCUAAGAAUAAAAAAUCCUCUAUGUACAUUGC
Grus americana (Whooping crane) is the source of this 4742-nucleotide RNA transcript. It is a transcript of the gene named 5-hydroxytryptamine receptor 4, with no coding region annotated. The transcript is spliced from 8 exons. Lineage: Eukaryota; Metazoa; Chordata; Aves; Gruiformes; Gruidae. The record is from RefSeq and is a predicted model, not a curated record.